Molecule: transfer RNA, 70 nt
Filed under: Clambus sp. CLA01
Lineage: Eukaryota; Metazoa; Arthropoda; Insecta; Coleoptera; Clambidae
Also listed under: 1 other name
Description: tRNA-Glu
Source: RNAcentral
AUUUAUAUAGUUUAAUAAUUUAAAACAUUAUAUUUUCACUAUAAAAAUAAAAAAUCUUUUUUUAUAAAUA